Small nuclear RNA from Cynocephalus volans (Philippine flying lemur), 107 nucleotides. NCBI's taxonomy places the organism in Eukaryota, Metazoa, Chordata, Mammalia, Dermoptera, Cynocephalidae. The record is from RefSeq and is a predicted model, not a curated record.
GUGCUUGCUUCAGCAGCACAUAUACUAAAAUUGGAACAAUACAGAGAAGAUUAGCACUGCUCUUAUACAAGGAUGACUCACAAAUUUGUGAAGCAUUCCAUAUUUUU